Long non-coding RNA from Felis catus (domestic cat), 629 nucleotides. RefSeq lists it as uncharacterized. The record is from RefSeq and is a predicted model, not a curated record. The transcript is spliced from 3 exons. Lineage: Eukaryota; Metazoa; Chordata; Mammalia; Carnivora; Felidae.
CACACUCUGUCUCUCUCUGUCUCUCAAAAAUAAAUAAAAUGUUACAUAUAUAUAAAAAAAAAAGACUGUGUGGUUGGUUUCAAGACGGAGAGUUAAGACAGAAAGGCUCCUGUCCUCUGUCGCGGGCUCAGCCUGUUUUCUCUCCACCCCCCAAUGCCAUUAGAGGCGUCGUAGAUACCUGAGGAUGGGCUGCCAGGUGCUGACUUUUGAACUUGACCUUGACAAUUUCUAAAUAGGAAAAGCAAAGCCAUACUCUUCAAUCUCUUUGGGAAGAGAUCAGGGUCUUGAACUCACAUUCACUUUUGGACUACGAUAGUACCUGAGAAAUAAUAAAGUGAUCUGCUCAAGAUCGAUUCCCAUUUCACCCUACAUCCAACUCACUUCACAAGGUCAUGGUGACAGUGACAAGAAUGUUCAGCCUGACUGCAUCUCAAUUAGAACCCUACUGGCAUGCCAUAGGCCACCAGUCUGCAGCCCUGGAGAGAGAGCUGUCUACAAUACAGUGGGUGACAGCAACAGUAGCCCGAGCGAGGGGAGCUCCGUCUUCAGAAGCUGAAGUUUGUAAGAAAUGAAUACAUACAGGGCCACUGCCUCAGAGGAUGUACCCUUCAUUUCCUGGAAAGGAGGAA